GAUGAACGCUGGCGGCGUGCCUAAUACAUGCAAGUCGAGCGAACAGACGAGGAGCUUGCUCCUUUGACGUUAGCGGCGGACGGGUGAGUAACACGUAGGUAACCUACCUAUAAGACUGGGAUAACUUCGGGAAACCGGAGCUAAUACCGGAUAAUAUUUCGAACCGCAUGGUUCGAUAGUGAAAGAUGGCUUUGCUAUCACUUAUAGAUGGACCUGCGCCGUAUUAGCUAGUUGGUAAGGUAACGGCUUACCAAGGCAACGAUACGUAGCCGACCUGAGAGGGUGAUCGGCCACACUGGAACUGAGACACGGUCCAGACUCCUACGGGAGGCAGCAGUAGGGAAUCUUGCGCAAUGGGCGAAAGCCUGACGGAGCAACGCCGCGUGAAUGAUGAAGGUCUUCGGAUCGUAAAACUCUGUUAUUAGGGAAGAACAAACGUGUAAGUAACUGUGCACGUCUUGACGGUACCUAAUCAGAAAGCCACGGCUAACUACGUG
This 497-nucleotide ribosomal RNA is filed under the name uncultured bacterium. RNAcentral describes it as "partial 16S ribosomal RNA". It matches the Rfam family "Bacterial small subunit ribosomal RNA", at positions 28 to 507 of the family's 1533-position model. The record is from RNAcentral.